This 496-nucleotide ribosomal RNA is filed under the name Achalinus sp. CHS755. RNAcentral's name for it is "partial 12S ribosomal RNA". It matches the Rfam family "Bacterial small subunit ribosomal RNA", at positions 875 to 1520 of the family's 1533-position model. RNAcentral also lists the same sequence under 1 other name. Lineage: Eukaryota; Metazoa; Chordata; Lepidosauria; Squamata; Xenodermidae. The record is from RNAcentral.
GCCUAAUAGUAACACAGUAAUAAAGCACGAAUUACUCGCCAAACCACUACGAGUGAAAACUUAAAACUUAAAAGACUUGACGGUACUUCAAACCCAACCUAGAGGAGCCUGUCUAAUAACCGAUAACCCACGUUUAACCCAACCCGCUUUAGCCAACCAGUCUAUAUACCGCCGUCACAGCCCACCUUAUGAAAGAAACAAAGUGCGCUCAAUAGCUUAACACUAACACGACAGGUCGAGGUGUAACUUAUAAGCGGGAACAGAUGGGCUACAUUUUCUCUAACAGAACAGACGAAUAAGGAUGUGAGACCAACCUUUAAAGGAGGAUUUAGCAGUAAGCCGCGACGCACAUUACCCAGCUGAAACUAAUGCAAUGAAGUGCGUACACACCGCCCGUCACCCCUGCAAAAAUUUAUCAAUUAUAAAUAAACCCAUUUAACCCCAAAAUCAGGGCAAGUCGUAACAUGGUAAGCGUACUGGAAAGUGCGCUUAGAAA